RNAcentral lists this ribosomal RNA (463 nucleotides) under uncultured bacterium. RNAcentral's name for it is "partial 16S ribosomal RNA". It matches the Rfam family "Bacterial small subunit ribosomal RNA", at positions 28 to 507 of the family's 1533-position model. The record is from RNAcentral.
GACGAACGCUGGCGGCGUGCUUAACACAUGCAAGUCGAACGGAAAGGCCCUGCUUUUGUGGGGUGCUCGAGUGGCGAACGGGUGAGUAACACGUGAGUAACCUGCCCUUGACUUUGGGAUAACUUCAGGAAACUGGGGCUAAUACCGGAUAGGAGCUCCUGCUGCAUGGUGGGGGUUGGAAAGUUUCGGCGGUUGGGGAUGGACUCGCGGCUUAUCAGCUUGUUGGUGGGGUAGUGGCUUACCAAGGCUUUGACGCAUAGCCGGCAUGAGAGGGUGACCGGUCAGACUGGGAGUGAGACACGGGCGAGAGUCCGCAGGGGGGAAGAGGUGGGGAAUAUUGGGCAAUGGGCGGAAGAGUGAUCCAGCAAUGCCGCGUGAGUGAUGAAGGCCUUAGGGUUGUAAAGCUCUUUUACCAGGGAUGAUAAUGACAGUACCGGGAGAAGAAGCGCCGGCUAACUCCGUG